RNAcentral lists this long non-coding RNA (942 nucleotides) under Homo sapiens (human). Its description in RNAcentral is "HSALNT0091596". Lineage: Eukaryota; Metazoa; Chordata; Mammalia; Primates; Hominidae. The record is from RNAcentral.
AACAAACCAUCAAUAUUUCUUCAGUUGAUAAAUCCUGAUUAUCCAAGUACCCAGAGAAGGUGUGAACAUUUAUUGGAAAAAAGCCAUUUAUUUAAUUAUGGCUAAAAAAAGAAGAAAAUAAACCUUUGAAAAAUUAUUUGGAGGUACAUGAAGAUGAACUGGAUCAGAGGCACCUUUUUCAGACACAAUGGGAUAUGGUGACAUGUGAGCAAAAAGAAAUGAAAAUGAUAAAAAGAGAAAACCUAGGCCUUAUAGCCACAGGGUCAAUCCCCUCAUGUGUGGAAUUCAGUGGGAAAUAACAAAUUUUUCUGCAUCUUUGGCAGAGUGGAAAACUGAGAGCCCUAUCUGACACUCUAAGCAAUGUUCCCACAGAGGUCAUAUAAAGCAAAAAUAAUUAAUAGGCCUAAAUAUUGUGUAUUGUUUUCCUUAGAAGGAUUUAUACCAUCUAAAAAAUAGAAUGUAUUUAAUCUAACUCAAAGACACAUAGUUCCUAACCCUAACCUUAUAUUUUGACUCAUUUGCUUACAAAUUCAUUUUGAUAAAAAUGCUAAACUUGGAUUUAUUUGUUUUUACAGAUUCAAUUUUGAGGAAUUUUCACCUAGAGGAAUCCAAGAUCUUCAGUCCAAACAGCAAUUUCUGGGGAGGUAGAUGAUGGGGGGAGGGGUAGCAGAGGGGUUAUAAUUAGCUGAACAUUUCAGUAAGAACAGUAACAAACAUGAGAUGUGGUGGUCCUGGGCAGUGUUCCGUGACAAGCAGAGGUUUACAUUUUUUAGGUUCAAGAGCAGGUAAAUGUUUCGUUUCGAGUUCAACUUUAGUUAAAAACUUGGGAGAAUUGGUUUCUUUUUCACUUGAAAGAAUAAGAACAUUUUAGGAAAUUUCUGAUGCCUGACCUAAAGACCUCUCAUCUUUCUUCAGAUGGAGAAUAAAACACUUCAAAACUGC